RNAcentral lists this ribosomal RNA (2660 nucleotides) under Salmonella enterica subsp. enterica serovar Enteritidis. Its description in RNAcentral is "partial 23S ribosomal RNA". It matches the Rfam family "Bacterial large subunit ribosomal RNA". Lineage: Bacteria; Pseudomonadati; Pseudomonadota; Gammaproteobacteria; Enterobacterales; Enterobacteriaceae. The record is from RNAcentral.
AAUCCAUAGGUUAAUGAGGCGAACCGGGGGAACUGAAACAUCUAAGUACCCCGAGGAAAAGAAAUCAACCGAGAUUCCCCCAGUAGCGGCGAGCGAACGGGGAGGAGCCCAGAGCCUGAAUCAGCAUGUGUGUUAGUGGAAGCGUCUGGAAAGGCGCGCGAUACAGGGUGACAGCCCCGUACACAAAAGCGCAUGUGCUGUGAGCUCGAUGAGUAGGGCGGGACACGUGGUAUCCUGUCUGAAUAUGGGGGGACCAUCCUCCAAGGCUAAAUACUCCUGACUGACCGAUAGUGAACCAGUACCGUGAGGGAAAGGCGAAAAGAACCCCGGCGAGGGGAGUGAAAAAGAACCUGAAACCGUGUACGUACAAGCAGUGGGAGCACCCUUUGGGUGUGACUGCGUACCUUUUGUAUAAUGGGUCAGCGACUUAUAUUCUGUAGCAAGGUUAACCGAAUAGGGGAGCCGGAGGGAAACCGAGUCUUAAUUGGGCGUUAAGUUGCAGGGUAUAGACCCGAAACCCGGUGAUCUAGCCAUGGGCAGGUUGAAGGUUGGGUAACACUAACUGGAGGACCGAACCGACUAAUGUUGAAAAAUUAGCGGAUGACCUGUGGCUGGGGGUGAAAGGCCAAUCAAACCGGGAGAUAGCUGGUUCUCCCCGAAAGCUAUUUAGGUAGCGCCUCGUGAAUUCAUCUCCGGGGGUAGAGCACUGUUUCGGCUAGGGGGCCAUCCCGGCUUACCAACCCGAUGCAAACUGCGAAUACCGGAGAAUGUUAUCACGGGAGACACACGGCGGGUGCUAACGUCCGUCGUGAAGAGGGAAACAACCCAGACCGCCAGCUAAGGUCCCAAAGUCAUGGUUAAGUGGGAAACGAUGUGGGAAGGCCCAGACAGCCAGGAUGUUGGCUUAGAAGCAGCCAUCAUUUAAAGAAAGCGUAAUAGCUCACUGGUCGAGUCGGCCUGCGCGGAAGAUGUAACGGGGCUAAACCAUGCACCGAAGCUGCGGCAGCGACACUGUGUGUUGUUGGGUAGGGGAGCGUUCUGUAAGCCUGUGAAGGUGUGUCGUGAGGCAUGCUGGAGGUAUCAGAAGUGCGAAUGCUGACAUAAGUAACGAUAAAGCGGGUGAAAAGCCCGCUCGCCGGAAGACCAAGGGUUCCUGUCCAACGUUAAUCGGGGCAGGGUGAGUCGACCCCUAAGGCGAGGCCGAAAGGCGUAGUCGAUGGGAAACGGGUUAAUAUUCCCGUACUUGGUGUUACUGCGAAGGGGGGACGGAGAAGGCUAUGUUGGCCGGGCGACGGUUGUCCCGGUUUAAGCGUGUAGGUGUGUGUUCCAGGUAAAUCCGGUUCACUUUAACACUGAGGCGUGACGACGAGGCACUACGGUGCUGAAGCAACAAAUGCCCUGCUUCCAGGAAAAGCCUCUAAGCAUCAGGUAACAUCAAAUCGUACCCCAAACCGACACAGGUGGUCAGGUAGAGAAUACCAAGGCGCUUGAGAGAACUCGGGUGAAGGAACUAGGCAAAAUGGUGCCGUAACUUCGGGAGAAGGCACGCUGACACGUAGGUGAAGUGAUUUACUCAUGGAGCUGAAGUCAGUCGAAGAUACCAGCUGGCUGCAACUGUUUAUUAAAAACACAGCACUGUGCAAACACGAAAGUGGACGUAUACGGUGUGACGCCUGCCCGGUGCCGGAAGGUUAAUUGAUGGGGUCAGCGCAAGCGAAGCUCCUGAUCGAAGCCCCGGUAAACGGCGGCCGUAACUAUAACGGUCCUAAGGUAGCGAAAUUCCUUGUCGGGUAAGUUCCGACCUGCACGAAUGGCGUAAUGAUGGCCAGGCUGUCUCCACCCGAGACUCAGUGAAAUUGAACUCGCUGUGAAGAUGCAGUGUACCCGCGGCAAGACGGAAAGACCCCGUGAACCUUUACUAUAGCUUGACACUGAACAUUGAGCCUUGAUGUGUAGGAUAGGUGGGAGGCUUUGAAGUGUGGACGCCAGUCUGCAUGGAGCCGACCUUGAAAUACCACCCUUUAAUGUUUGAUGUUCUAACGUGGACCCGUUACCCGGGUUGCGGACAGUGUCUGGUGGGUAGUUUGACUGGGGCGGUCUCCUCCUAAAGAGUAACGGAGGAGCACGAAGGUUGGCUAAUCCUGGUCGGACAUCAGGAGGUUAGUGCAAUGGCAUAAGCCAGCUUGACUGCGAGCGUGACGGCGCGAGCAGGUGCGAAAGCAGGUCAUAGUGAUCCGGUGGUUCUGAAUGGAAGGGCCAUCGCUCAACGGAUAAAAGGUACUCCGGGGAUAACAGGCUGAUACCGCCCAAGAGUUCAUAUCGACGGCGGUGUUUGGCACCUCGAUGUCGGCUCAUCACAUCCUGGGGCUGAAGUAGGUCCCAAGGGUAUGGCUGUUCGCCAUUUAAAGUGGUACGCGAGCUGGGUUUAGAACGUCGUGAGACAGUUCGGUCCCUAUCUGCCGUGGGCGCUGGAGAACUGAGGGGGGCUGCUCCUAGUACGAGAGGACCGGAGUGGACGCAUCACUGGUGUUCGGGUUGUCAUGCCAAUGGCACUGCCCGGUAGCUAAAUGCGGAAGAGAUAAGUGCUGAAAGCAUCUAAGCACGAAACUUGCCCCGAGAUGAGUUCUCCCUGAGACUUAAAGUCUCCUGAAGGAACGUUG